This 442-nucleotide ribosomal RNA is filed under the name uncultured bacterium. RNAcentral's name for it is "partial 16S ribosomal RNA". It matches the Rfam family "Bacterial small subunit ribosomal RNA", at positions 338 to 795 of the family's 1533-position model. The record is from RNAcentral.
CCUACGGGUGGCAGCAGUGGGGAAUAUUGGGCAAUGGGCGCAAGCCUGACCCAGCAACGCCGCGUGAAGGAAGAAGGCUUUCGGGGUGUAAACUUCUUUUGACAGGGAAGAGGAGAAGACGGGACCUGGCGAAUAAGCCAAGGCUAACUACGGGCCAGCAGCCGCGGUAAUACGUAGGUGGCAAGCGUUGUCCGGAUUUACUGGGGGUAAAGGGCGUGUCGCCGGGUUGACAAGUCAGAUGGGAAAUCCUGCGGCUUAACCGCAGAACGGCAUUUGAAACUGUUGAUCUUGAGUCCUGGAGAGUCCGCCGGAAUUCCUAGUGUAGCGGUGCACUGCGUCGAUAUUAGGCGGACCCCCAGUGGCGACGGCGGUCUGCUGGACCGCACCUGACGGUGAGGCGCGAAAGCGUGGGGAGCAAACAGGAUUAGAUACCCUUGUAGUC